This 263-nucleotide unclassified non-coding RNA is filed under the name plant metagenome. Its description in RNAcentral is "partial contains small subunit ribosomal RNA, internal transcribed spacer 1, and 5.8S ribosomal RNA". The record is from RNAcentral.
UUUCCGUAGGUGAACCUGCGGAAGGAUCAUUAUUGUAUCACUGAGGUGCGAGGGCUGUCGCUGACCCGAAAGGUCGUGCACGCCCGAGUGCCCUCACACACAUCCACCUCACCCCUAUGUGCACCACCGCGUGGGUCCCCCUUUGGCUUGUUCGGAGGGGGGCUUACGUUUUCACACAAACUUUGUAUGCAGUGUAGAAUGUAUUUUUUGUUUUUGCGAUCACGCAAUCAAUACAACUUUCAACAACGGAUCUCUUGGCUCUC